CAUCAUACGAGGUCGGCUUGAGAGUGUGACAACUGAUGGUGGGAGAAGUGGUUUCUUCAACCGUAGUUUGUUAAAAGAAGGCGACUUUUGUGGAGAGGAACUUCUAACAUGGGCACUAGACCCAAAAUCCGGUUCUAACCUUCCGUCUUCAACUCGUACAGUGAACAGUUUAUUAAAAGAAGGCGACUUUUGUGGAGAGGAACUUCUAACAUGGGCACUAGACCCAAAAUCCGGUUCUAACCUCCCGUCUUCAACUCGUACAGUGAAAGCUCUGACGGAAGUGGAGGCUUUCGCUCUCACAGCAGACGAGUUGAAAUUCGUUGCCAGUCAGUUCAGAAGGCUUCACAGUAGACAGGUUCAGCACACGUUCCGAUUCUACUC
RNAcentral lists this long non-coding RNA (381 nucleotides) under Nicotiana benthamiana. RNAcentral's name for it is "long non-coding RNA (NBEN_LNC011298)". The record is from RNAcentral. Lineage: Eukaryota; Viridiplantae; Streptophyta; Magnoliopsida; Solanales; Solanaceae.